RNAcentral lists this ribosomal RNA (1288 nucleotides) under Staphylococcus sp. Its description in RNAcentral is "bacterial SSU rRNA". It matches the Rfam family "Bacterial small subunit ribosomal RNA", at positions 257 to 1533 of the family's 1533-position model. The record is from RNAcentral. Lineage: Bacteria; Bacillati; Bacillota; Bacilli; Caryophanales; Staphylococcaceae.
GUAAAGUGAUACCGGCUUAUCCACAGGCAACAGAUCGUAAGCGACUGGAGGUGAUCGGCACACCUGGACUGAGAAACCGUCCCGAUCUACGGAGGCAGCAGUAGGGAUCUCGGCAUAGGCGAAGCCUGACGAGCAAACGCCGCGUGAGUGAUGAAAGUCUCGGAUCGUAAAACUCUGUUAUCAUGGGAAGAAACAAAAUGUGUAAGUAACUGUGCACAUCUUGACGGUACCUGAUCAGAAAGCCACGGCUAACUACGUGCCAGCAGCCGCGGUAAUACGUAGGUGGCAAGCGUUAUCUGGAAUUAUUGGGCGUAAAGCGCGCGUAGGCGGUUUUUUAAGUCUGAUGUGAAAGCCCACGGCUCAACCGUGGAGGGUCAUUGGAAACUGGAAAACUUGAGUGCAGAAGAGGAAAGUGGAAUUCCAUGUGUAGCGGUGAAAUGCGCAGAGAUAUGGAGGAACACCAGUGGCGAAGGCGACUUUCUGGUCUGUAACUGACGCUGAUGUGCGAAAGCGUGGGGAUCAAACAGGAUUAGAUACCCUGGUAGUCCACGCCGUAAACGAUGAGUGCUAAGUGUUAGGGGGUUUCCGCCCCUUAGUGCUGCAGCUAACGCAUUAAGCACUCCGCCUGGGGAGUACGACCGCAAGGUUGAAACUCAAAGGAAUUGACGGGGACCCGCACAAGCGGUGGAGCAUGUGGUUUAAUUCGAAGCAACGCGAAGAACCUUACCAAAUCUUGACAUCCUUUGACCGCUCUAGAGAUAGAGUCUUCCCCUUCGGGGGACAAAGUGACAGGUGGUGCAUGGUUGUCGUCAGCUCGUGUCGUGAGAUGUUGGGUUAAGUCCCGCAACGAGCGCAACCCUUAAGCUUAGUUGCCAUCAUUAAGUUGGGCACUCUAAGUUGACUGCCGGUGACAAACCGGAGGAAGGUGGGGAUGACGUCAAAUCAUCAUGCCCCUUAUGAUUUGGGCUACACACGUGCUACAAUGGACAAUACAAAGGGCAGCUAAACCGCGAGGUCAAGCAAAUCCCAUAAAGUUGUUCUCAGUUCGGAUUGUAGUCUGCAACUCGACUACAUGAAGCUGGAAUCGCUAGUAAUCGUAGAUCAGCAUGCUACGGUGAAUACGUUCCCGGGUCUUGUACACACCGCCCGUCACACCACGAGAGUUUGUAACACCCGAAGCCGGUGGAGUAACCAUUUAUGGAGCUAGCCGUCGAAGGUGGGACAAAUGAUUGGGGUGAAGUCGUAACAAAGAGCAACCGGAGUGGCGGCUGCACUCACCUCUCUUAAC